Molecule: long non-coding RNA, 332 nt
Filed under: Panax ginseng (ginseng)
Lineage: Eukaryota; Viridiplantae; Streptophyta; Magnoliopsida; Apiales; Araliaceae
Description: long non-coding RNA (PGIN_LNC013501)
Source: RNAcentral
AGUAUUAAGAUAGAAAUAUAGAUUUUCCAAGCAGAAAAUUUUGUUGGGAGUAUCAUGUUUCAGCUCAAUUUGAUUCUUUUAGUCACUAUUUCUAGAUUGAGAGGUUUAUCAUCUUGUGUGGUUAUUUUGAACAGAAAAAGUUGUUCUAUACAUGGUGCACCUUGUUUUCUAAGUUAACUGACUAUUGUUUUGUUACUGAUUUUGUACAUCUUUAAUAACUGUCUAUUACUCCCUCCUUUUGACUAAAGAUACAAAUUUGUCUUCAAAAAGGAGAUAAAAAAGACAGGUACAUAAAGCAAAGAGGAAAUAUGUUAUUUAGUAAGGUUUAUUAG